This 370-nucleotide ribosomal RNA is filed under the name uncultured prokaryote. Its description in RNAcentral is "bacterial SSU rRNA". It matches the Rfam family "Bacterial small subunit ribosomal RNA", at positions 524 to 896 of the family's 1533-position model. The record is from RNAcentral.
UACGGAGGAUCCAAGCGUUAUCCGGAUUUAUUGGGUUUAAAGGGUGCGAAGGCGGAAUUUCUAGUCAGUGGUGAAAUCUUACGGCUCAACUGUAAAACUGCCAUUGAUACUGUUAUUCUUGAGUAUAUUUGAAGUGGCUGGAAUGUAUCAUGUAGCGGUGAAAUGCUUAGAUAUGAUACAGAACACCGAUUGCGAAGGCAGGUCACUAAACUAUAACUGACGCUCAUGCACGAAAGCGUGGGGAUCAAACAGGAUUAGAUACCCUGGUAGUCCACGCCCUAAACGAUGAUUACUCGAUGUUGGCGAUAUACUGUCAGCGUCUAAGCGAAAGCAUUAAGUAAUCCACCUGGGGAGUACGAUCGCAAGGUUG